UCGCUACUACCGAUUGAAUGGCUUAGUGAGCUCUAGGGACUCGGGUCCCGGCGGGGUUUCUCGCCGGGUACCUGGGGAACUAGAUCAAACUUGAUCAUUUAGAGGAAGUAA
Molecule: ribosomal RNA, 111 nt
Filed under: uncultured eukaryote
Lineage: Eukaryota
Description: partial small subunit ribosomal RNA
Rfam family: Eukaryotic small subunit ribosomal RNA
Source: RNAcentral